Molecule: ribosomal RNA, 392 nt
Filed under: Ctenophora environmental sample
Lineage: Eukaryota; Metazoa; Ctenophora
Description: partial Bacterial small subunit ribosomal RNA
Rfam family: Bacterial small subunit ribosomal RNA
Source: RNAcentral
CCGCGGUAAUACGGAGGGUGCAAGCGUUAUUCGGAAUCACUGGGCGUAAAGGACGCGUAGGCGGGUUGUCAAGUCUGAUGUGAAAUCCUAUGGCUCAACCAUAGAACUGCAUUGGAAACUGGCAACCUAGAGUAUGGGAGGGGGAGAUGGAAUUAGUGGUGUAGGGGUAAAAUCCGUAGAUAUCACUAGGAAUACCGAAAGCGAAGGCGAUCUCCUGGAACAUUACUGACGCUAAGGCGUGAAAGCGUGGGGAGCAAACGGGAUUAGAUACCCCGGUAGUCCACGCCCUAAACGAUGAACACUAGUCGUCGGGAUGCUAGUCAUCUCGGUGAUGCACUUAACAGAUUAAGUGUUCCGCCUGGGGAGUACGGUCGCAAAAUCAAACACAAAGU